AUUGAACGCUGGCGGCAGGCCUAACACAUGCAAGUCGAGCGGAGCGGCGGACGGGUGAGUAAUGCCUAGGAAUCUGCCUGGUAGUGGGGGAUAACAUCCGGAAACGGGAGCUAAUACCGCAUACUCUAAGAUGAGCCUAGGUCGGAUUAGCUGGUUGGUGGGGUAAAGGCCUACCCAGGCGACGAUCAGUAACUGGUCUGAGGGGAUGAUCAGUCACACUGGAACUGAUACACGGUCCAGACUCCUACGGGAGGCAGCAGGGGGGAUUAUUGGCCAAUGGGCGAAAGCCUGAUCCAGCCAUGCCGCGGUUGUGAAGAAGGUCUUCGGAUUGUAAAGCACUUGAAGUUGGGAGGCGUUACCAACAGAAUAAGCACCGGCUAACUUCGUGCCAGCAGCCGCGGUAAGUU
Molecule: ribosomal RNA, 407 nt
Filed under: uncultured bacterium
Lineage: Bacteria
Description: partial 16S ribosomal RNA
Rfam family: Bacterial small subunit ribosomal RNA
Source: RNAcentral